This 98-nucleotide ribosomal RNA is filed under the name Pogona vitticeps (central bearded dragon). Lineage: Eukaryota; Metazoa; Chordata; Lepidosauria; Squamata; Agamidae. The record is from RNAcentral.
CCCUGAAUACAUAUUAUCUGAUUUGGAAGCUAAGCAGAAUCAAGCACAGUUAGUAUCUGAAUGGGAGACCACUAAGUAAUAUCAUGGACCUCCAGGUA